AUGGUGCAAACGCCAACUGUUGUCCACAAGGGCUAUGCUAUCAACCGCAUUUGCCAGUUCUAUAUGAGCAAGGUUCUCUAUACUCGGCAGAACUUCUAUGAAAAGUUGUCCACCAUCAUUGACGAGUUCCGCCGACUGGAUGACAUCCACCCUUUCUAUGUCAAUCUCCUUCAUGUGUUGUACAAUAUGGAUCACUACAAACUUUUCAUGGGUCAGAUCAAUACGACUUUAAAUAUCAUUGGAAAGAUUUCCAAGGAUUAUCUGAGGCUGCUCAAGUAUGGAGACACCCUGUACCGGUACAAGUGCCUUAAGGUAGCUGCAUUAGGUCGCAUGUUUACUGUUCUAAAGCGCAUCAGUCCUAGUUUGGCAUACCUGGAGCAGAUCAGGCAGCACAUGGCCAGGCUUCCAUCAAUUGACCCAAACAACCGUACUAUCUUGAUUUAUUACAAAUAUCUUCGGUACCAAGUGAUUGACACUCCAGGGAUCCUUGAUCGGCCUUUUGAGGACAUGAACAUCAUACAAAUGUGCAGUAUCACCGCUCUUGCCCACUUGAGGGUUGUUGUGCUGUUCUUCUUGGAUAUCUCUGGGUCUUGUGGGUACACUAUUGCUCAGCAAGCUGCACUCUUCCAUAGUAUAAAAUCCUUGUUCAUGAAGACUAUACCUCAAGGUGGAGAUCCUAGUGAAGAGGGUGUUUUGUUGACUAUGAGUGCCUUAACAGACGAGGGUGUGAUGGCUGUUAAAAAUGCUGCAUGUGAGAGGCUUCUCGAGCAGAGAGUGGAGAUCAAGAUGAAGUCAAAGAAGAUCAAUGACUUCUUAAAUAGGUUUCAUGUUUCUAUGCCCAAGCCUCAUGACAACAGAGAUAGGCCUACUUGCAUUCAUCAGGCUGUUCUUGAAGCUCAAGCAAUUGUGGCUGCAAAGGAAAAGAAGAAGCUUGAGAGGGACCUUGAGAAUGAGAAUGGAGGUGCUGGUGUCUAUUCCGCCAGUCUCAAGAAGCAUUACUUAUUGGCCAAUGAUGAAUGGAAUGAAGAUAUUCUCCCUGAGAUAUUAGAUGGGCACAAUGUUGCCGAUUUCUUCGAUCCAGAUAUCUUGGAAAGGUGUGAAGAACUGCAAAGGGAGGAGGGUCUUUGUCUUGAAGAAGAAGCUGCUCAAGAUGCUUUCAUGAUUGAUAGCCAUGGCAAAUUAACUGAAGAACAUCGUGACAUAUUGGGUAAGAUUAGGAAGAAGGCAAUGAGUUAUCCUAUUGUUCCAAGGAAACAAGAGAAAGACAGGAAAUUCACAAUCAAGAGAUUGGGCAGGCAACUCACAUCCAUGGGUGUUGAUCCUAAUGCUGCUCGUGAGAGGUCACUGAGCAGAGCUAAUUGUGAUGACGCUAUUGACGCUGAUGGCCAACAUCCCGACAAGAAACUGCGUACAAGGUCGAGGUCUAAGUCCAAAUCCCGCCCAAUUGAAGCGGUCAAGGCCAUCAAGAAGUCAAGGGACUCUGUCAAGAACAGGAACAAGGAGGCUCUCCAUGGGGAGGCAGACCGCGUGAUCCCUACCUUGAAACCGAAGCAUCUCUUCUCUGGAAGACGAGGCAUUGGAAAGACCAGCAGGCAUUAA
Molecule: ribosomal RNA, 1599 nt
Filed under: Triticum aestivum (bread wheat)
Lineage: Eukaryota; Viridiplantae; Streptophyta; Magnoliopsida; Poales; Poaceae
Description: partial small subunit ribosomal RNA
Source: RNAcentral